Long non-coding RNA from Zingiber officinale, 479 nucleotides. RefSeq lists it as uncharacterized. The transcript has 3 exons. Lineage: Eukaryota; Viridiplantae; Streptophyta; Magnoliopsida; Zingiberales; Zingiberaceae. The record is from RefSeq and is a predicted model, not a curated record.
UUUUUCUCCUUCUCCCUCGCGACGGCGCCCUCUCCCUCGGCGGAAACGAAGAAGAAGCUAGGUUUUUGGGUCUCCGGCGCCGGCGAAGCUUUCUUCCGGCCAGCCCUCACCCGUGGGUGGUCAUCCCGACAGAGAAGAGCUCGCGGGCACAAGAGGAAGCCAGAAAAUCUGCAAACCCGAGCCCUCCGAAAACCCUAAGAGCCUUCUCCUUCCUCCUCCUCGGUUGUAAGUCCAAGAACCGGCUAUAAAGGAAAAGCUAAGAUAUGAAGGGAGGCGAUAGGGUGGUGGUGAUGAUGGAUGUGUGUGGUGGCUGGACUAUGGAGAGAUCCAGAAUGAGCUGGCAAAUUGCCAAGACUUUUCUGUUUAGUUCUUUUAGUUCUCUUUUAAGUGUUAUUAUGGGUUGAGACUGUAAAUAAGUUUAUUCCGCAUUUGUAAUUAGUUUUCUUUUAUUAUGAGUUGGAGUAGUAUAGUUGUUGCUA